AAUGAACGCUGGCGGCAGGCCUAACACAUGCAAGUCGAACGAGGUAGCAAUACCUAGUGGCGGACGGGUGAGUAACGCGUGGGAACGUGCCCCUUGGUACGGAAUAGCCCUGGGAAACUGGGAGUAAUACCGUAUGUGGUCGAGAGACGAAAGAUUUAUCGCCAAGGGAUCGGCCCGCGUUGGAUUAGGUAGUUGGUGGGGUAAUGGCCUACCAAGCCGACGAUCCAUAGCUGGUUUGAGAGGAUGAUCAGCCACACUGGGACUGAGACACGGCCCAGAAUCCUACGGGAGGCAGCAGUGGGGAAGCUUAGACAAUGGGGGAAACCCUGAUCUAGCCAUGCCGCGUGAUCGAUGAAGGCCUUAGGGUUGUAAAGAUCUUUCAGUGGGGAAGAUAAUGACGGUACCCACAGAAGAAGCCCCGGCUAACUCCGUGCCAGCCGCCGCCGUAA
RNAcentral lists this ribosomal RNA (449 nucleotides) under uncultured bacterium. Its description in RNAcentral is "partial 16S ribosomal RNA". It matches the Rfam family "Bacterial small subunit ribosomal RNA", at positions 29 to 523 of the family's 1533-position model. The record is from RNAcentral.